This 305-nucleotide ribosomal RNA is filed under the name uncultured bacterium. RNAcentral's name for it is "bacterial SSU rRNA". It matches the Rfam family "Bacterial small subunit ribosomal RNA", at positions 337 to 634 of the family's 1533-position model. The record is from RNAcentral.
GCCUACGGGACGCAGCAGUAGGGAAUUUUCGUCAAUGGGCGCAAGCCCGAACGAGCGAUGCCGCGUGAGUGAAGAAGGCCUUCGGGUCGUAAAGCUCUGUUGCGGGGGAAAAAAGGCAGCAUCAGGAAAUGGGUGCUGACUGAUGGUGCCCCGCCAGAAAGUCACGGCUAACUACGUGCCAGCAGCCGCGGUAAUACGUAGGUGGCGAGCGUUAUCCGGAAUGAUUGGGCGUAAAGGGUGCGCAGGCGGUCCUGUAAGUCUGGAGUGAAAGGCAUGGGCUCAAAUCAUGCAUGGCUUUGGAAACU